Molecule: ribosomal RNA, 497 nt
Filed under: uncultured bacterium
Lineage: Bacteria
Description: partial 16S ribosomal RNA
Rfam family: Bacterial small subunit ribosomal RNA
Source: RNAcentral
GAUGAACGCUGGCGGCGUGCCUAAUACAUGCAAGUCGAGCGAACAGACGAGGAGCUUGCUCCUCUGACGUUAGCGGCGGACGGGUGAGUAACACGUGGAUAACCUACCUAUAAGACUGGGAUAACUUCGGGAAACCGGAGCUAAUACCGGAUAAUAUAUUGAACCGCAUGGUUCAAUAGUGAAAGACGGUUUUGCUGUCACUUAUAGCUGGAUCCGCGCCGCAUUAGCUAGUUGGUAAGGUAACGGCUUACCAAGGCAACGAUGCGUAGCCGACCUGAGAGGGUGAUCGGCCACACUGGAACUGAGACACGGUCCAGGCUCCUACGGGAGGCAGCAGUAGGGAAUCUGCCGCAAUGGGCGAAAGCCUGACGGAGCAACGCCGCGUGAGUGAUGAAGGUCUUCGGAGCGUAAAACUCUGUUAUUAGGGAAGAACAAAUGUGUAAGUAACUAUGCACGUCUUGACGGUACCUAAUCAGAAAGCCACGGCUAACUACGUG